Molecule: transfer RNA, 74 nt
Filed under: Microcoleus sp. PH2017_01_SCD_O_A
Lineage: Bacteria; Bacillati; Cyanobacteriota; Cyanophyceae; Oscillatoriales; Microcoleaceae
Also listed under: 32 other names
Description: tRNA-Gln
Source: RNAcentral
UGCCGGGUGGACAAAUUGGUAAAGUCGGAUGCCUCUGAAGCAUCAGUUUGUAGCUUCAAAGCCUACCCCGGCAU